RNAcentral lists this ribosomal RNA (445 nucleotides) under uncultured bacterium. RNAcentral describes it as "partial 16S ribosomal RNA". It matches the Rfam family "Bacterial small subunit ribosomal RNA", at positions 354 to 796 of the family's 1533-position model. The record is from RNAcentral.
GUGAGGAAUAUUGGUCAAUGGGCGCAAGCCUGAACCAGCCAUGCCGCGUGCAGGAAGACGGUCCUAUGGAUUGUAAACUGCUUUUAUUUGGGAAUAAACUCCGGUACGUGUACCGGCCUGAAGGUACCAAAUGAAUAAGCACCGGCUAACUCCGUGCCAGCAGCCGCGGUAAUACGGAGGGUGCAAGCGUUAUCCGGAAUCAUUGGGUUUAAAGGGUCCGCAGGCGGUCUUAUAAGUCAGUGGUGAAAGCCUACAGCUCAACUGUAGAACUGCCAUUGAUACUGUAGGACUUGAAUUCGAUCGAAGUGGGCGGAAUGUGACAUGUAGCGGUGAAAUGCUUAGAUAUGUCACAGAACACCGAUAGCGAAGGCAGCUCACUAGGUCUGGAUUGACGCUCAGGGGCGAAAGCGUGGGGAGCAAACAGGAUUAGAUACCCUAGUAGUCC